RNAcentral lists this ribosomal RNA (446 nucleotides) under uncultured bacterium. RNAcentral describes it as "partial 16S ribosomal RNA". It matches the Rfam family "Bacterial small subunit ribosomal RNA", at positions 338 to 795 of the family's 1533-position model. The record is from RNAcentral.
CCUACGGGGGGCAGCAGUCGAGAAUCAUUCACAAUGGGGGAAACCCUGAUGGUGCGACGCCGCGUGGGGGAAUGAAGGUCUUCGGAUUGUAAACCCCUGUCAUGUGGGAGCAAAUUAAAAAGAUAGUACCACAAGAGGAAGAGACGGCUAACUCUGUGCCAGCAGCCUCGGUAAUACAGAGGUCUCAAGCGUUGUUCGGAAUCACUGGGCGUAAAGCGUGCGUAGGCUGUUUCGUAAGUCGUGUGUGAAAGGUGCGGGCUCAACCCGCGGACGGCACAUGAUACUGCGAGACUAGAGUAAUGGAGGGGGAACCGGAAUUCGCGGUGUAGCAGUGAAAUGCGUAGAUAUCGAGAGGAACACUCGUGGCGAAGGCGGGUUCCUGGACAUUAACUGACGCUGAGGCACGAAGGCCAGGGGAGCGAAAGGGAUUAGAUACCCGUGUAGUC